RNAcentral lists this ribosomal RNA (253 nucleotides) under uncultured bacterium. Its description in RNAcentral is "partial 16S ribosomal RNA". It matches the Rfam family "Bacterial small subunit ribosomal RNA", at positions 524 to 776 of the family's 1533-position model. The record is from RNAcentral.
UACGUAGGUGGCAAGCGUUGUCCGGAUUGACUGGGCGUAAAGCGCACGCAGGCGGUCGUGCACGUGGGGUGUGAAAACUGGCGGCUUAACUGCCAGAGGCCACCUCAUACGGCGCGACUCGAGCCCGUGAGAGGUCCAUGGAAUUGCCGGUGUAGUGGUGAAAUGCGUAGAGAUCGGCAGGAACACCCAGGGAGAAAUCAGUGGACUGGCACGGUGCUGACGCUCAGGUGCGAAAGCGUGGGGAGCGAACCGG